GAUGAACGCUGGCGGCGUGCCUAAUACAUGCAAGUCGAGCGAACAGACGAGGAUCUUGCUCCUCUGACGUUAGCGGCGGACGGGUGAGUAACACGUGGAUAACCUACCUAUAAGACUGGGAUAACUUCGGGAAACCGGAGCUAAUACCGGAUAAUAUAUUGAACCGCAUGGUUCAAUAGUGAAAGACGGUUUUGCUGUCACUUAUAGAUGGAUCCGCGCCGCAUUAGCUAGUUGGUAAGGUAACGGCUUACCAAGGCGACGAUGCGUAGCCGACCUGAGAGGGUGAUCGCCCACACUGGAACUGAAACGCGGUCCAGACUCCUACGGGAGGCAGCAGUAGGGAAUCUGCCGCAAUGGGCGAAAGCCUGACGGAGCAACGCCGCGUGAGUGAUGAAGGUCUUCGGAUCGUAAAACUCUGUUAUUAGGGAAGAACAAAUGUGUAAGUAACUAUGCACGUCUUGACGGUACCUAAUCAGAAAGCCACGGCUAACUACGUG
This 497-nucleotide ribosomal RNA is filed under the name uncultured bacterium. RNAcentral describes it as "partial 16S ribosomal RNA". It matches the Rfam family "Bacterial small subunit ribosomal RNA", at positions 28 to 507 of the family's 1533-position model. The record is from RNAcentral.